GUCUUUUUCUCUUAAAAUGAAUGAAGAACGGCCUCCAUUUCCUCAAAAAAUUCACCAUUUAAACGUCAUUUUCUCCGGACGAAGAAGCUAAAAAUUUCACCAUCUAAAAAGCUUGAAGUGCUUUUGGCUGAUAAUUGACCAAAUUAACCUGUCUCCCCCCUCCCCCCCAAAAAAAAAAAACGUUCUUUCCUUUUUUGUGAAAGCUCUAUACCCAUUUUUUUCACAUUUUCGCUGUGAAAGCUGUUUCCUGUUCUUUGUUCCUCUUCCACAGAAUGAAGACCCAGGCUUGGAAUAUGAGCUAUCAGUACUGCGACAAGCAAUAGAUUUAGGAUUUACUUAUUUCUUGGCACAUGGAGAUUUGAGGGCGAAAAAGAACUCCCUUUUCAUCAAGAAACUCGUCAUAAACUACUUCUACGCGUUCCUGUGGAGAAACUGUCGAGUUGGUGCAGCAAAUAUGAGUGUACCUCGCAUGAAUAUCUUGCAAGUGGGCAUGACAUACAUGGUUUGAUGAGAGUUGCCAUCGAUUCAGAGCUGCCAUUUUCUUGUUGAUUCAAAGUAUUGUUUUUGAGCUCAAUAAGUUUGAGAAUUAAGCCAUGCAUAAGAAUCAAAUAUUUUGACAUUCACAAUUGGCCGCCAGUGGAAAUUUUGCACUGAAUCUGUUGUUUGUGCGUAGUAUACUUUCAUUUUUCCUUGGCUUCUUCGAGUUUAGCUUUUCAGGCAAGUCCAUUGACAAACACUUUCUAGAUUUACAACUCAAGUGCACGUUAUAUUCAAUUUGUAAAUGCUACUGUAAAAUUUUUAGUAUUUAUAUUUGGUAUAUAAAUAUUAUCCCUUUUUAAAA
Long non-coding RNA from Gossypium raimondii (Peruvian cotton), 841 nucleotides. RefSeq lists it as uncharacterized. The transcript is spliced from 2 exons. NCBI's taxonomy places the organism in Eukaryota, Viridiplantae, Streptophyta, Magnoliopsida, Malvales, Malvaceae. The record is from RefSeq and is a predicted model, not a curated record.